GGCAUGAUAGCAUAACGGUUAAUGCCCUGCUUUUCUUAGCGCUGAAAUCCCUUGCCGCAGAUGAUCCCGGUUCGACUCCGGGUCAGGCCA
This is a non-coding RNA of Mycena rosella, 90 nucleotides long. The record is from the annotation of a GenBank genome assembly. NCBI's taxonomy places the organism in Eukaryota, Fungi, Basidiomycota, Agaricomycetes, Agaricales, Mycenaceae.